RNAcentral lists this ribosomal RNA (442 nucleotides) under uncultured bacterium. RNAcentral describes it as "partial 16S ribosomal RNA". It matches the Rfam family "Bacterial small subunit ribosomal RNA", at positions 338 to 795 of the family's 1533-position model. The record is from RNAcentral.
CCUACGGGCGGCAGCAGUAGGGAAUCUUUCACAAUGGGCGAGAGCCUGAUGGAGCAACGCCGCGUGCAGGAUGAAGGCCUUCGGGUUGUAAACUGCUUUUAUAAGCGGGAAAUAUGAUGGUACCUUAUGACUAAGGAUCGGCUAACUACGUGCCAGCAGCCGCGGUCAUACGUAGGAUCCGAGCAUUAUCCGGAGUGACUGGGUGUAAAGAGUUGCGUAGGUGGCAUAAUAAGUAGCUAGUGAAAUCUGGUGGCUCAACCAUUCAGACUAUUAGCUAAACUGUUAAGCUCGAGACCGUUAGGGGUAACUGGAAUUUCUAGUGUAGGAGUGAAAUCCGUAGAUAUUAGAAGGAACACCAAUAGCGUAGGCAGGUUACUGGGACGGUUCUGACACUAAGGCACGAAAGCGUAGGGAGCAAACGGGAUUAGAUACCCGGGUAGUC